RNAcentral lists this transfer-messenger RNA (350 nucleotides) under Phycisphaerales. RNAcentral's name for it is "UBA2396 sp015200025 Standard tmRNA". It matches the Rfam family "transfer-messenger RNA". Rfam says of the family: Bacterial tmRNA, also known as 10Sa RNA or SsrA, is named for its dual tRNA and mRNA-like properties. Its role is to liberate the mRNA from a stalled ribosome. To accomplish this part of the tmRNA is used as a reading frame that ends in a translation stop signal. The record is from RNAcentral. Lineage: Bacteria; Pseudomonadati; Planctomycetota; Phycisphaerae. RNAcentral also lists the same sequence under 1 other name.
GGGGCCGAAUUGGUUUCGACCGGGCGUGUGACGCCCGGCGUGGCGUGUCGAGGAGCCUGCUGGCCUCGUAAAAAGUAGGCACAAAUUUAGUUGCCAACAGCAACUACGCUCUGGCGGCCUAAUUAGGCCGUCCGGCUUCCCCCCGACGCCCGGUGGGGGGGAAACCGAAAACACCGGGCUGGCGGAGAUGUGUCGCUGCCGAGCAUCACCCGCGAGAUACUUCGGCGGCUGCUCCCUCCCGAACGGCGCCGCUGCCGGUCGAUGGGCCGACGAUAAACCAGCGGAUACACACGUAGAGGCGCCGAGCUGACCGUCCCGGCACGGGGGUUCGAUUCCCCCCGGCUCCAUUC